AUUUUGGGGAGAGGGCUCCACCCAGCUCUAUUCCCCAGUUUUGGGGGAACCUGAAACUGCUUUGGCCCUGUUUGGCACAACUCCAGCUCCAGCUCCAUCCCUCCUGGGACUAGAAGCUCAGCCAAACAGUUUUAGCUCCACCAAAACUGGGAGUGGAGCUGGGUGGAGCUCUCUCACAAAAUGAACUAGA
This 190-nucleotide unclassified non-coding RNA is filed under the name Oryza sativa (Asian cultivated rice). RNAcentral describes it as "partial microRNA MIR452e-as precursor". The record is from RNAcentral. Lineage: Eukaryota; Viridiplantae; Streptophyta; Magnoliopsida; Poales; Poaceae.